This 393-nucleotide ribosomal RNA is filed under the name uncultured bacterium. Its description in RNAcentral is "bacterial SSU rRNA". It matches the Rfam family "Bacterial small subunit ribosomal RNA", at positions 111 to 518 of the family's 1533-position model. The record is from RNAcentral.
UAACGGACGUGGGUAACCUGCCUAUAAGACGUGAACAACAGUUAGAAAUAGACUGCUAAUACACGAUAAGCACACCAGUAUCGCAUGAUACAGUGUGAAAAGAAUUUCGCUUAUAGAUGGACCCGCGUUUGAUUAGCCAGUUGGUGGGGUAACGGCCUACCAAAGCAACGAUCAAUAGCCGGCCUGAGAGGGCGACCGGCCACAUUGGGACUGAGACACGGCCCAAACUCCUACGGGAGGCAGCAGUGGGGAAUAUUGGACAAUGGGGGCAACCCUGAUCCCAGCAACGCCGCGUGAGUGAUGAAGUAUCUUGGUAUGUAAAGCUCUAUCAGUAGGAACGAAAAUGACGGUACCUAACUAAGAAGCCCCGGCUAACUACGUGCCAGCAGCGGC